Molecule: long non-coding RNA, 71 nt
Organism: Frieseomelitta varia
Lineage: Eukaryota; Metazoa; Arthropoda; Insecta; Hymenoptera; Apidae
Exons: 3
Source: RefSeq, a predicted model, not a curated record
AUUAAAAUUAGGAAAAUUACAUUUCUUUCUAUUUAAUAAGGAUUUUAAUAAUUCGCUCUUCCAUUGCAUCA